This 3322-nucleotide ribosomal RNA is filed under the name Chara braunii. RNAcentral's name for it is "eukaryotic LSU rRNA". Lineage: Eukaryota; Viridiplantae; Streptophyta; Charophyceae; Charales; Characeae. The record is from RNAcentral.
UUUGAUCUCAGGUCGGGYGGGAGCACCCGCCCAAUUUAAGCAUAUAACUAAGCGGAGGAAGAGAAACCAACGAGGAUUCCCUUGGUAGCGGCGAGCGAACCGGGAAUAGCCCAGACUGAAAAUCCGGGGGCUGUGYUGCUCCCUGAAUUGUAGUCUUGAGAGGCAACCUCUGCAGCGGGCCGUGUGCAGGUUCCCUGGAAGCGGACGCCGAAGAGGGUGACAGCCCCGUCGACCGCCGGACCCUGCUGCGCAACGAGGUGUUGUCCAAGAGUCGGGUUGCUUGGGAAUGCAGCCCCAAUUGGGUGGUAAGUCCUAUCCAAGGCUAGAUAUGUUGGAGGGACCGAUAGCGAAGAAGUACAGCGAGGAAAGGAUGAAAAGAACUUUGAAAAGAGAGUUAAAUAGUGCUUGAAAUUGCCGAGCGAGAAGCGGAUGGAGGGGAAGUCGUGCACUCCCGUCUGGGCAAGGGUGGACUCCGAAUGUGUUGUCGCUUUCCUUGUUGGACGUGGGGCGCCUGCCAGCAUGGGCUGCUGUGACCGGCAUUGCGGUGGGGAGCGAUUAAAACCCCCCACGGGUGGCCGUCACGGCAGUCGAGGACCUUGAGCACGCGCCUCUUUCGGCGGGCCCGUUCGGGUUCCUGCGUGUUCAGGAUGCUGGUGAAAUUUCUCUAUCCUGCCUGUCUUGAAACACAGACCGAGGAGUUCAACAUGCAUGCGAGCCAAUGUGAUUAGCCCACGAGGCGGAAGAAACCUGAGUGGCGGGAACCCUCUGUGGGUGCACCGUCCGCCAACCACGAUCUAAUGUGAGAGGUUUGAGUGUGAGCAUGCCCGUUGGGACCCGAAAGAUGGUGAACUAUGCCUGAGCAGGGCGAGGCCAGAGGAAACUCUGGUGGAGGCUCGCAUCGAUACUGACGUGCAAAUCGUUCGUCGGACUUGGGUAUAGGGGCGAAAGACUAAUCGAACCGUCUGGUAGCUGGUUCCCUUCGAAGUUUCCCUCAGGAUAGCUGCAGUUGUUGAACAGUUUUAUCGGGAAAAGCGAAUGAUUAGAGGCCUCGGGGGUGAAACACCCUCGACCUAUUCUCAAACUUUAAAUAGGUAAGAUUUCGGGGUUGCUUAAGCGAACCCCGAGGAUCAAUGAAAGCUCSAAGUGGGCCAUUUUUGGUAAGCAGAACUGGCGAUGUGGGAUGAACCGAAAGUUGAGCUACGGUGACAAACUGCGCGCUAACCCAGACACCACAAAGGGUGUUGAUUGAUACAGACAGCAGGACGGAGGUCAUGGAAGUCGAAAUCCGCUAAGGAGUGUGUAACAACUCACCUGCCGAAUCAAUUAGCCCCGCAAAUGGAUGGCGCUGAAGCGCGCGACCUAUGCUCGGCCGUCGCAGCGAUUCUGAUGCGCGGGGCCUGCUGCGAAGCGUGGAGCGUGAGCCUAGGUGAAGCGCGUCCCGGUGCAGAUCUUGGUGGUAGUAGCAAAUAUUCAAAUGAGAACUUUGAAGACCGAAGUGGAGAAGGGUUCCAUGUGAACAGCGCUUGGACAUGGGUCAGUCGGCCCUAAGAGAUGUGGAAACCUUGUAUCAAGGGCGCACUGCGCGCCGCACUUUGAAAGGGGUUCUGUUUAAUAUUCCCGAACCGGGUUGUGGAGGUGGACGGUAACGUAAGCAGCUCCGGUGAUGCUGGCGGGGGCAGUGGGGCGGGUUGUCUUUCCUUCUUGACGGCUCGCCCACCCUGGAAUCGGAUCAACUGGAGAUAGGGUGCAGCGCCCGGCAAAGCACCGCGCGUCHUGUGGUGUCCAGCGCGCCCCCGACGGCCCUUGAAAAUCUGGAGCUGCGGGUACCUCUCACGCCCGACCGUCCUCAAAACCGUAUCAGGUUUCCUAGGUAAGCAGCCUCUGGUCAAAGGAAGAAUGUAGGUAAGGGAAGUCGGCAAUAUGGAUCCGUAASCUUGGGAAAAGGAUUGGCUCUGAGGGCUGGGCCGAGGGGUCUGCGCCUCGUUGUCGUUGGCUGCCGGUGGUCUGCCUGAGCUGCUCUCGCGGCGAGGGCGGAGCCCGCGUGCCACUGUGCCGACGGGCGUAGAAUGUCUUAUGUCCCCACCUUUCGGGUGGGGCUGUGGGUCUCUCCCUAAGCAUCAAACUGCCGACUCAAAACUGAUGCCGAAAAGGGGAAUCCGACUGUUUAAUUAARACAAAGCAUUGCGAUGGUCCCAACGGAUGUUGACGCAAUGUGAUUUCUGCCUAGUGCUCUGAAUGUCAUAGUGAAGAGAUUCAACCAAGCGCGGCUAAACGAUGGGAGUAACUAUGAAUCUCUUAAGGUAGCCAAAUGCCUCGUCAUCUWAUUAGUGACGCGCAUGAAUGGAUUAACGAGAUUCCCACUGUCCCUAUUUACCAUCCUGCGAAACCAUAGCGAGGGGAAUCAGCGGGGAAAGAAGACCCUGUUGAGCUUGACUCUAGUUCGACUCUGCGAAAGGACUUGACAGGUGUAGAAUAAGUGGGACCCUUACAGCGCAAGUGAAAUACCACUACUUUUAACAUUAUUUUACUUAUUUCGUGAGGUGGAGCCGGGGCUCUGCCCCUUCUUCUCGAUCCAAGGUACAGGCCCUCGUGGCCUGUCCGAUCCAAGCGAAAGACAUUGUCAGGUGGGGAGUUUGGCUGGGGCGGCACAUCUGUUAGAAGAUAACGCAGGUGUCNCCUGUCCGAUCCAAGCGAAAGACAUUGUCAGGUGGGGAGUUUGGCUGGGGCGGCACAUCUGUUAGAAGAUAACGCAGGUGUCGUAAGAUGAACUCAACGAGAACAGAAAUCUCGUGUGGAGCAAAAGGGCAAAAGCUUCCAGUACUAAUACAAACUGUGAGAGCAUGGCCUAUCGAUCCUUUAGCGUUUCAGGACUUGAAGCUAGAGGUGUCAGAAAAGUUACCACARGGAUAACUGGCUUGUGGCAGCCAAGCGUUCAUAGCGACGUUGGUUUUUGAUCCUUCGAUGUCGGCUCUUCCUAUCAUUGUGAAGCAGAAUUCACCAAGUGUUGGAUUGUUCACCCACCAAGAGGGAACGUGAGCUGGGCUUAGACCGUCGUGAGACAGGUUACGGGUCUUCCCUGCCUGCCCCUCGGCGAUCUUGCCCACCCGCCUCUUCGCUUGUUGGGGUGAGUCUUGGAGCUCGACCCUUGCAUUCGUGUGGAUGUGGAGGGCACGGGAGAGCCAUACAACUUAGUGUGGCAGAAUAGUUAGUAAUUAGCAUGUUGCAUGACAGGUCUGUGGAAAAAGGGUUGCCCUCACCCCAGUGGAAGAGAGCAACAAGGGGAAAGUCUAACGAUUCAGGCGUAUAGACUCCCCAAAGUUCU